UGUGUUUUGUUCAUUUUAAAUUUGUAAUUCUUUUUGGACAGACAAAAUCACCGUGACAAGUUAACGUACGGUGUGGGGUCAAAUAUCUUUGUCUCAACUCCAUUAGUUUUCAAGGUGUAAAUAAAUGAAUCUCGUCUGUGAAAUUAUACUAGGCCUACCACCAGGGGGAGAGCAAGACCAAGUUGUUAGACUGAGAUUGGAAGCACAGAUUUUUUCGUAGGAAGAAAAGGGCUGUGGUGGAAGAUGCUCUGUUGCCCUUCAUCAGUCACAUUUCCUCUUCAUUAGCAUACUUGCAAGGGAGUUGACUGAAUGCCUCGGACAGAACAGCUGCUGAAAACCUUGCUAACCUGCCGAAGAGAUGAAAGAAUCUAAAAAUAAACACACUGCAUCAGUGCUCACUGCUCAGAGCUGUCUGGAGUGAGGGAUAUUCCCUGCCAUAUAGGAAGGAAUCUAUCCAAGAACAGGAGAAUCAAGACGCAACCGCCUGCAAGAUGAAUUGAAGCCCCCAAGCGGUCAAGCACACAUUAUUUUGGAUGUAUUGAGUCGAAACAGACAAUAUUGUUACACAUAUGCACUUGCACUUUGCUUAUAAGCCUUAUAAUAUAAGGCAUUUGAAUACUCUGUCAGUUUUUGAGGUUGUGGAGGUAGAAGAGACAUGAAGAGGUGGAGAGAGCUGGUAUGAAAGAGAUAGAUCCAUAAACCUUUGAGGAAUGCCAGCCUUAAUUUACAACAAAGAACUGUCAUACCACAGAGCAAGAGAGGCCAUGUCUCAGUCACAGGCAGAAGCCUAAGGUAGUCUCUCAAUUGAUGUCAAAAAAAGGCGAUAGGUGUAAAAAUCUCAAUUACUUUAAAUAUAAGCAAGGCUAAAAGGUCCUGUGACUACUUUGACUUGCUUGUCAUGUGCACAAGACAGUAUUACUGCAUAAUGAUGCAUGGUUUAUUCAUUCUCGUAAUUGUGAUUGAUCAAUU
Engraulis encrasicolus (European anchovy) is the source of this 969-nucleotide long non-coding RNA. RefSeq lists it as uncharacterized. The transcript has 3 exons. NCBI's taxonomy places the organism in Eukaryota, Metazoa, Chordata, Actinopteri, Clupeiformes, Engraulidae. The record is from RefSeq and is a predicted model, not a curated record.